RNAcentral lists this unclassified non-coding RNA (376 nucleotides) under soil metagenome. RNAcentral describes it as "partial contains 5.8S ribosomal RNA, internal transcribed spacer 2, and large subunit ribosomal RNA". The stretch from base 1 to 120 matches the Rfam family "5.8S ribosomal RNA", at positions 35 to 154 of the family's 154-position model. The record is from RNAcentral.
GAUGAAGAACGUAGUGAAAUGCGAUAAGUAAUGUGAAUUGCAGAAUUCAGUGAAUCAUCGCAUCUUUGAACGCAUCUUGCGCUCCUUGGUAUUCUGAGGAGCAUGCCUGUUUGAGUGUCAUUAAAUUCUCAACUACACUGACUUUGAAUUGGUGUGGCUUGGAUUUGGGGGGAAAAUUGUUGUGGGCUUUUUGUAUAGUCUGCUCCCCUGAAAUUGAUUAGCGGUACCUUUGUGGAACUGUCUACAGGUGUGAUAAUUAUCUACAUCUUAGACAUCUGCUGGAAUGCUGCUCUCUAAACCUUACUUGUAUUGACAAUCUUGACCUCAAAUCAGGUAGGACUACCCGCUGAACUUAAGCAUAUCAAUAAGCGGAGGA